UCUGUGCUGUGGAGGUAAUAUAUAGCUGUCAACAUAUAUACGUCCAAAGCACUGAGGGG
This 59-nucleotide microRNA precursor is filed under the name Ixodes scapularis (black-legged tick). RNAcentral describes it as "Isc-Mir-5308_pre stem-loop". Lineage: Eukaryota; Metazoa; Arthropoda; Arachnida; Ixodida; Ixodidae. The record is from RNAcentral.